UACGGGGGGGGCAAGCGUUGUUCGGAAUUACUGGGCGUAAAGGGCUCGUAGGUGGCCAACUAAGUCGGACGUGAAAUCCCUCGGCUUAACCGGGGAACUGCGUCCGAUACUGGUUGGCUUGAGUUUGGGAGAGGGAUGCGGAAUUCCCGGUGUAGCGGUGAAAUGCGCAGAUAUCGGGAGGAACACCGGUGGCGAAGGCGGUUCUCUGGGCCUGUACUGACGCUGAGGAGCGAAAGCGUGGGGAGCGAACAGG
This 253-nucleotide ribosomal RNA is filed under the name uncultured bacterium. RNAcentral's name for it is "partial 16S ribosomal RNA". It matches the Rfam family "Bacterial small subunit ribosomal RNA", at positions 524 to 776 of the family's 1533-position model. The record is from RNAcentral.